UGCGGAUUGAUGUAAUAGUAGCAUAAUUGGCUCAUGUCCAGUAUAUAGAGGUGCAAAUCCUUUAUCCGCGU
This is a non-coding RNA of Diplodia seriata, 71 nucleotides long. NCBI's taxonomy places the organism in Eukaryota, Fungi, Ascomycota, Dothideomycetes, Botryosphaeriales, Botryosphaeriaceae. The record is from Rfam.